GUGGGGAAUCUUGCGCAAUGGGCGAAAGCCUGACGCAGCCAUGCCGCGUGAAUGAUGAAGGUCUUAGGAUUGUAAAAUUCUUUCACCGGGGACGAUAAUGACGGUACCCGGAGAAGAAGCCCCGGCUAACUUCGUGCCAGCAGCCGCGGUAAUACGAAGGGGGCUAGCGUUGCUCGGAAUUACUGGGCGUAAAGGGCGCGUAGGCGGACAGUUAAGUUGGGGGUGAAAGCCCGGGGCUCAACCUCGGAACUGCCUUCAAUACUGGCUGUCUUGAGUAUGAGAGAGGUGUGUGGAACUCCGAGUGUAGAGGUGAAAUUCGUAGAUAUUCGGAAGAACACCAGUGGCGAAGGCGACACACUGGCUCAUUACUGACGCUGAGGCGCGAAAGCGUGGGGAGCAAACAGGAUUAGAAACCCCGGUAGUCC
RNAcentral lists this ribosomal RNA (425 nucleotides) under uncultured bacterium. RNAcentral's name for it is "partial 16S ribosomal RNA". It matches the Rfam family "Bacterial small subunit ribosomal RNA", at positions 354 to 796 of the family's 1533-position model. The record is from RNAcentral.